This 71-nucleotide transfer RNA is filed under the name Patescibacteria group bacterium. RNAcentral describes it as "tRNA-Cys". It matches the Rfam family "tRNA". From Rfam's summary of the family: Transfer RNA (tRNA) molecules are approximately 80 nucleotides in length. The record is from RNAcentral.
GGUCUGGUGGCCAAGUGGUAAGGCAAGGGUCUGCAAAACCCUCAUCGUGGGUUCAAAUCCCACCCAGACCU